Molecule: ribosomal RNA, 253 nt
Filed under: uncultured bacterium
Lineage: Bacteria
Description: partial 16S ribosomal RNA
Rfam family: Bacterial small subunit ribosomal RNA
Source: RNAcentral
UACAGAGGGGGCAAGCGUUAUUCGGAAUUAUUGGGCGUAAAGGGCGCGUAGGCGGUCCGGCAAGUCGGGUGUGAAAGCCCUCGGCUUAACCGAGGAAGUGCAUUCGAAACUACCGGACUUGAGUACUGAAGAGGGUCGCGGAAUUCCCGGUGUAGCGGUGAAAUGCGCAGAUAUCGGGAGGAACACCAGUAGCGAAGGCGGCUCGCUGGGCCACACCUGACGCUGAGACGCGAAAGCUAGGGGAGCGAACAGG